Molecule: ribosomal RNA, 1007 nt
Filed under: uncultured marine bacterium
Lineage: Bacteria
Description: bacterial SSU rRNA
Rfam family: Bacterial small subunit ribosomal RNA
Source: RNAcentral
ACUUAGUGGCAGACGGGUGAGUAACAUGUGGGUAUCUACCCUUUGGCCUGGAAUAACACGAGGAAACUUGUGCUAAUACCGGAUAAGUCUUUACGGAGAAAGCUUUAUGCACCAUUGGAUGAGCCUGCACUUGAUUAGUUUGUUGGUAGGGUAAUGGCCUACCAAGACUAUGAUCAAUAGCUGAUUUGAGAGGAUGAUCAGCCACAUUGGGACUGAGACACGGCCCAAACUCCUACGGGAGGCAGCAGUGGGGAAUCUUGCACAAUGGAGGAAACUCUGAUGCAGCGAUGCCGCGUGAGUGAAGAAGGCCCUUGGGUUGUAAAGCUCUUUCGUCGGGGAAGAAAAUGACUGUACCCGAAUAAGAAGGUCCGGCUAACUUCGUGCCAGCAGCCGCGGUAAUACGAAGGGACCUAGCGUAGUUCGGAAUUACUGGGCUUAAAGAGUUCGUAGGUGGUUGAAAAAGUUGGUGGUGAAAUCCCAGAGCUUAACUCUGGAACUGCCAUCAAAACUUUUCAGCUAGAGUAUGAUAGAGGAAAGCAGAAUUUCUAGUGUAGAGGUGAAAUUCGUAGAUAUUAGAAAGAAUACCAAUUGCGAAGGCAGCUUUCUGGAUCAUUACUGACACUGAGGAACGAAAGCAUGGGUAGCGAAGAGGAUUAGAUACCCUCGUAGUCCAUGCCGUAAACGAUGUGUGUUAGACGUUGGAAAUUUAUUUUCAGUGUCGCAGCGAAAGCGAUAAACACACCGCCUGGGGAGUACGACCGCAAGGUUAAAACUCAAAUGAAUUGACGGGGACCCGCACAAGUAGUGGAGCAUGUGGUUUAAUUCGAAGAUACGCGCAGAACCUUACCAACACUUGACAUGUUCGUCGCGACUCUAAGAGAUUAGAGUUUUCGGUUCGGCCGGACGAAACACAGGUGCUGCAUGGCUGUCGUCAGCUCGUGUCGUGAGAUGUUCGGUUAAGUCCGGCAACGAGCGCAACCACAUCCCUAGUUGCCAGCAGUUCGGCU